Molecule: ribosomal RNA, 590 nt
Filed under: Chelonia mydas (Green sea turtle)
Lineage: Eukaryota; Metazoa; Chordata; Testudines; Cheloniidae
Description: partial 16S ribosomal RNA
Rfam family: Bacterial large subunit ribosomal RNA
Source: RNAcentral
AUCAAAAACAUAGCCUCUAGCAACACACAAGUAUUAGAGGUAAUGCCUGCCCAGUGACAUUGUUAAACGGCCGCGGUAUCCUAACCGUGCAAAGGUAGCGUAAUCACUUGUCUUUUAAAUAAAGACUAGAAUGAAUGGCCAAACGAGGUUCUACCUGUCUCUUACAAACAAUCAGUGAAAUUGAUCUCCCCGUGCAAAAGCGGGAAUAACACUAUAAGACGAGAAGACCCUGUGGAACUUUAAAUACAGAUCAACUAUCAUACCCACUCACUCUAAGGACCUAUAACUAAUUAGUACUUGACCUAUAUUUUUGGUUGGGGCGACCUCGGAGUAAAACAAAACCUCCGAAAAAAGAAUACACUUCUUAACCUAGACCCACAAUUCAAAGUGCCAACGGCAAAAUGAUCCAAUAUAUUUGAUCAACGAACCAAGCUACCCCAGGGAUAACAGCGCAAUCCCAUCCUAGAGUUCCUAUCGACGAUGGGGUUUACGACCUCGAUGUUGGAUCAGGACAUCCUGAUGGUGCAACCGCUAUCAAGGGUUCGUUUGUUCAACGAUUAACAGUCCUACGUGAUCUGAGUUCAGACCGG